GUGGGUAUAGCUCAGUGGCUGAGCACACAUUUAGCAUGUGCAAGGUCCUGGGUUCAAUCCCCAGUACCUCCA
Molecule: transfer RNA, 72 nt
Filed under: Camelus bactrianus (Bactrian camel)
Lineage: Eukaryota; Metazoa; Chordata; Mammalia; Artiodactyla; Camelidae
Also listed under: 2 other names
Rfam family: tRNA
About the family: Transfer RNA (tRNA) molecules are approximately 80 nucleotides in length. Their secondary structure includes four short double-helical elements and three loops (D, anti-codon, and T loops).
Source: Rfam by way of RNAcentral